Molecule: ribosomal RNA, 202 nt
Filed under: uncultured bacterium
Lineage: Bacteria
Description: partial 16S ribosomal RNA
Rfam family: Bacterial small subunit ribosomal RNA
Source: RNAcentral
CUGUAGUCUGNAACCCGACUACACGAAGCUGGAAUCGCUAGUAAUCGCGAAUCCGAAUGUCGCGGUGAAUACGUUCCCGGGUCUUGUACACACCGCCCGUCACACCAUGGGAGUCGGGAAUGCCCGAAGUCAGUGACCCAACCUUUGGAGGGAGCUGCCGAAGGCAGGUCUGAUAACUGGGGUGAAGUCGUAACAAGGUAAC